GACGAACGCUGGCGGCGUGCUUAACACAUGCAAGUCGAACGGAAAGGCCCUGCUGUUGUGGGGUGCUCGAGUGGCGAACGGGUGAGUAACACGUGAGUAACCUGCCCUUGACUUUGGGAUAACUUCAGGAAACUGGGGCUAAUACCGGAUAGGAGCUCCUGCUGCAUGGUGGGGGUUGGAAAGUUUCGGCGGAUGGGGAUGGACUCGCGGCUGAUCAGCUUGUUGGUGGGGUAGUGGCUUACCAAGGCUUUGACGGGUAGCCGGCCUGAGAGGGUGACCGGCCACAUUGGGACUGAGAUACGGCCCAGACUCCUACGGGAGGCAGCAGUGGGGAAUAUUGCACAAUGGGCGGAAGCCUGAUGCAGCAACGCCGCGUGCGGGAUGACGGCCUUCGGGUUGUAAACCGCUUUCGCCUGUGACGAAGCGUGAGUGACGGUAAUGGGUAAAGAAGCACCGGCUAACUACGUG
RNAcentral lists this ribosomal RNA (468 nucleotides) under uncultured bacterium. RNAcentral's name for it is "partial 16S ribosomal RNA". It matches the Rfam family "Bacterial small subunit ribosomal RNA", at positions 28 to 507 of the family's 1533-position model. The record is from RNAcentral.